GGUAAUGUAGCUCAGUGGUAGAGCUGGUGCUUUUAGCAUGCAUGAGGCUCUGGGUUCAAACCACAGCACCA
RNAcentral lists this transfer RNA (71 nucleotides) under Cavia porcellus (domestic guinea pig). It matches the Rfam family "tRNA". From Rfam's summary of the family: Transfer RNA (tRNA) molecules are approximately 80 nucleotides in length. Their secondary structure includes four short double-helical elements and three loops (D, anti-codon, and T loops). The record is from Rfam by way of RNAcentral. Lineage: Eukaryota; Metazoa; Chordata; Mammalia; Rodentia; Caviidae.